UCCGUAGGCGGGCAAUUAAGUCAGAGGUGAAAUCCCACAGCUCAACUGUGGAACUGCCUUUGAUACUGGUUGUCUUGAGUUACAGUGAAGUAGAUAGAAUAUGUAGUGUAGCGGUGAAAUGCAUAGAUAUUACAUAGAAUACCGAUUGCGAAGGCAGUCUACUAACUGUAUACUGACGCUAAUGGCCGAAAGCGUGGGGAGCGAACAGGAUUAGAUACCCUGGUAGUCC
This 229-nucleotide ribosomal RNA is filed under the name uncultured bacterium. RNAcentral's name for it is "partial 16S ribosomal RNA". It matches the Rfam family "Bacterial small subunit ribosomal RNA", at positions 568 to 796 of the family's 1533-position model. The record is from RNAcentral.